UUUUGAGAGUGGAGCCAUUCUGGGCAGGCAGACUGGUUCCUUUCUGUCUUUCUUAUUUCCACGAGGUCUGGUCCAUGCCCAGAACAAGGGGUCAUUAUGGCUGCAGCAUUGGAAUGCCUUUCCCAUCAGUGAGUUAAGGAGAUUAUCUUUGUUUGAAAUUCCAGGGAUCCUGGGAGGAGGAUUUGUUAGGCUUGCCUUCUCUCUCUCCUGUCUAGGCAGUGAGGCAGGCCUGGGCUGGAUUGGGCUGGCUGGAGGCUCUUUGCCAUGGUCCCUGGUCGCCGCCUGCCUGUCUGUCUUUGUGAGUGGAGUGGCAGGGCAGUGCAAGGUGGUGUGUACCCAGGCAUGCUGUACUGAGGAGGAGCCAGGUACUCUCCCAGCACUGACCUGCCUGCCUGCCUGCCUGCCCAUCUGCCUGCUUGCCCACCCUCCACUGCAUUUGGGCUGGAGAGGCCCACUCCUGUGCUGGACAGGAGCCAGAGAACUUGGGCAAAUCAACUUACUAUGAAGAAGGGAGCUAGCUGGACAGCCUAACUCCAGCAAGGCCUUGGUAGAUCAGGUACCAGUCUUGAGUCUUGGAAAGAAGAAACUUCUAGAGCUUGGCAGAGAAAGACCCCAACCUCCUUCAACAACAACUUGACAACCUGACAAGCUCCUUCCCUUCCUCCAUUAAUAGCUGAUCUCCUGUUCCCUCCCUUUGGGGAGGAGCUGCCCCACUGGUGCUCCAUCCGUUUAUGAUGGUAAUGGGGGCUAUAAACUGACACUGGGAAGCUCAACAUUCUGACUAAGCUGGGAGGGGCAGAAGGAAAAAGGAGUGGAAGAUUGGAGAGGGUCUGAUGAUGGGGAGCUCUCUGGUUGGACCUGUUGAUUCUCUGACUUGGAAGGAGGAGGUCAGGAAUACUGCCAGUACCCUUGGAGGGACCAUCACUUACUGGUGAUUGUUCUCCCUUACCCUGCCCUUCAGGGGCUUGGGAAGCUGGAGCCUCCUUAUCAGGGUAAUUAGCAGCAGACCCUGGACUGAGACUGGCUUCUGUCUCAUUGACUGCUUCUCUGCUGAGUGGAUCCUGCCUGCUGUACACCACACAUACUAGCUGUGCACCCUGACCCUGUGGGGGGAGGCGACGGGAGAAGGGGUGAGGGUAGGCAUAGAUCUUCAGUGCCUUGGGCACUGAACUUAAUCAGCACAGUGACAGCCCAGAGGGUCAGGGGACACUGAGGGGAUUGCUUGCCUAGCUUUUCCUUCUACCUAUUCUCCAGUUGUCACAGGAAAGGUACUUGGGCCCCAAUCUCUGGACACUGAGGUCUAGGGCUUCAGGAACCAGAACUGGGGAGCUUUGGGGCGGGGAGGCAGAUAGUGACAGUUCCCAGGCUAGGAUUGAAUCGUUUGGAUAUACUGCUGCCUGGACACAGACUUGUCUAGGUAGCACUAUUGAGAGCCAGGCUCAGCACUAUGGAGCAGUUUCUUGCCUUUGGGGUCAAAGGCUCGGAUUAUGGAGCAGCUAACUGAA
Molecule: long non-coding RNA, 1505 nt
Filed under: Phascolarctos cinereus (koala)
Lineage: Eukaryota; Metazoa; Chordata; Mammalia; Diprotodontia; Phascolarctidae
Description: lncRNA (ENSPCIG00000030639.1)
Source: RNAcentral